This is a non-coding RNA of Acanthosepion pharaonis, 96 nucleotides long. NCBI's taxonomy places the organism in Eukaryota, Metazoa, Mollusca, Cephalopoda, Sepiida, Sepiidae. The record is from the annotation of a GenBank genome assembly.
UGAAAUGUCAAUUCCCGUACGAUCAUCGAAGUUAAGCAACGUCGAGUCGGAUCAGUACCGAGAUGGGUGACCGUUUAGGAAUACCAGGUGGUGUAA